This 949-nucleotide long non-coding RNA is filed under the name Capra hircus (goat). RNAcentral describes it as "lncRNA (ENSCHIG00000000835.1)". The record is from RNAcentral. Lineage: Eukaryota; Metazoa; Chordata; Mammalia; Artiodactyla; Bovidae.
CUGAACUGAACUGAACUGAGGCUGCAGUCCAUGGGAUCACAAAAGAGUCAGACAUCACUUAACGACUAAACAACAACAACAACAAUACUGAAACAUGUCCUAAGACUUUUGGAACUUCUUUCAAGUAGAAUUCACGAAUAAUGACAUAAUUACCAGCUUAUGGACUGAUGCUUCCAGGCAUGAGUGGGAAGAAACACUCUGGUGAUAUCAUUGAGUCCUCAUGUAGUAUCAGUACUUGUCCAUCUGAUUAUCUAAACUGGAUGCAUUUUCACAAAGACUGGAAACCUCAUGAGAAGAUUGAGUGUCAAUGGGAAGAACUGAAUCGAUGACCUGUGAGUCGGGAUUGAAGGUACCAGGGGAAUCCAGGUGCCUGAAGCUACAGAUAGACCCUGGCAGACCUGAAACCUGACUUGAUAAGACUACCAUCCCAUAGCCCCUGGGUUCCUGUCUCCUCUACUCAGGCUGCUUCCAGGUUUCAAUUCCAGUUUCGCAAGAGAAAGACUGGGAGAGAGAGGUUCAAUUUACACUUCAUGUCCACACCUAUCUUCAGAUUCAGAAAUUUGUGUGUGUGCCUGUGUGUGUACGAAGUUGCCACAGACCCAACUCCAUGGAAGCAGUUCUCUAAGAGAAAGAACCUUUGUGAGUUGGGCAUAUAAGAUUCUCUAUUGAAGCACUCCAAACAUCACUUGGGGAUGUUAUGUCAUAUUGCACCACAGCUUUCGGAAAUAACUGGGAGAGAGUUACAAUGUUGGACAAGGAGAAGAGAGGGAAGAAAGGUAUCCAAGCAACGGGUGUGUACAGCAGUUUGAAUUCAAGUACAGAAGUGGAAGCAAGGCACAGCUGGGUAAUAACGACAGAAGCCACUCGUAGGAAGCUCUGAUAAUCCGACUGGUCAAAAAAGCUGUCACCUGCUGCCCCAGUUCUUUCUGGUUGUACAUCUAGUUUAUAA